RNAcentral lists this ribosomal RNA (253 nucleotides) under uncultured bacterium. Its description in RNAcentral is "partial 16S ribosomal RNA". It matches the Rfam family "Bacterial small subunit ribosomal RNA", at positions 524 to 776 of the family's 1533-position model. The record is from RNAcentral.
UACAGAGGUCUCAAGCGUUGUUCGGAUUCAUUGGGCGUAAAGGGCGCGUAGGCGGUGCGGUAAGUCACCUGUGAAACCUCUAGGCUUAACCUAGAGCCUGCAGGCGAAACUGCCGUGCUUGAGGGUGGGAGAGGUGCGUGGAAUUCCCGGUGUAGCGGUGAAAUGCGUAGAUAUCGAGAGGAACACCUGCGGCGAAGGCGGGUUGCUGGGCCGACACUGACGCUGAUGCGCGAAAGCCAGGGGAGCGAACGGG